GAUUAACGCUGGCGGCGUGCAUAACACAUGCAAGUCGAACGAUGAAACUUAGUAGUCUUCUUUGGAAAGACACUAAGCGGCUUAGUGGCGAACGGGUGAGUAACGCGCGAGUAAACUGCCUUACACAAGGGGAUCACCUUUGGAAACGAAGAAUAAUACUCUAUAAAACCAUAAAAGCACAUGCUAGAAUGGUCAAAGUGCUAGCGGUGUGAGAUGAACUUGAGUCUGAUUAGCUAGAUGGUGAGAUAUAAGCUCACCAAGGCAACGAUCAGUAGCCGGCUUGGGAGCGCGGACCGCCACAUUGGGACUGAGACACGGCCCAGACUCCCACGGGAGGCAGCAGUGGGGAAGGUUGCACGAUGGGGGAAAGCCUGAUGCAUCGACACCGCGUGAUUUAGAAGGCCGUCGGGUUGUAAAAUUCUAGUAAAUAGGAAGAAAAUGACAGUACUAUACGAAAAAGGCCCGGCUAAUUACGUG
RNAcentral lists this ribosomal RNA (477 nucleotides) under uncultured bacterium. RNAcentral describes it as "partial 16S ribosomal RNA". It matches the Rfam family "Bacterial small subunit ribosomal RNA", at positions 28 to 507 of the family's 1533-position model. The record is from RNAcentral.